RNAcentral lists this long non-coding RNA (409 nucleotides) under Actinidia chinensis (golden kiwifruit). RNAcentral describes it as "long non-coding RNA (ACHI_LNC007198)". Lineage: Eukaryota; Viridiplantae; Streptophyta; Magnoliopsida; Ericales; Actinidiaceae. The record is from RNAcentral.
GAUAUUGGACUUACAAAUUGACUAAUAUAUACUCUAGCUCUCUCUACGGCGAUUUCUCAUCUAUCAUGAAGUUGAUGACAUUUGAUAAGGGAUAGAUUUACAUAUCCAAAUAGCUGUUGGAGAAGGAAAAAUGCUCAUCCCGAGAUGAUCAUGUCGCUCUACUCCAUUCGUCAUUUAGUUGUCCUUCACCAUUUUCUGGGCUCUUUCGGUUGUCCUUUUGUCCAUAUCACCAUACCCUUCGGACCGAGGUAUACACACCCUCCAACUGGCUUUGUUCGGCCACGAUCUUCGCUAAUCACUCCACGAUCUCCUCCCAUAAUCUUCUCCACGGUUAUCUUAUAAUCGCGUCACGUUCUCCUUUUUCCUUUAAGAAAUUCUGUCUAUAAAAGCCGCUCUUCUAUCUCCAGAA